This 361-nucleotide ribosomal RNA is filed under the name Escherichia coli. RNAcentral's name for it is "partial 23S ribosomal RNA". It matches the Rfam family "Bacterial large subunit ribosomal RNA", at positions 165 to 563 of the family's 2925-position model. The record is from RNAcentral. RNAcentral also lists the same sequence under 1 other name. Lineage: Bacteria; Pseudomonadati; Pseudomonadota; Gammaproteobacteria; Enterobacterales; Enterobacteriaceae.
CAUAGGUUAAUGAGGCGAACCGGGGGAACUGAAACAUCUAAGUACCCCGAGGAAAAGAAAUCAACCGAGAUUCCCCCAGUAGCGGCGAGCGAACGGGGAGGAGCCCAGAGCCUGAAUCAGUGUGUGUGUUAGUGGAAGCGUCUGGAAAGGCGCGCGAUACAGGGUGACAGCCCCGUACACAAAAAUGCACAUAUUGUGAGCUCGAUGAGUAGGGCGGGACACGUGGUAUCCUGUCUGAAUAUGGGGGGACCAUCCUCCAAGGCUAAAUACUCCUGACUGACCGAUAGUGAACCAGUACCGUGAGGGAAAGGCGAAAAGAACCCCGGCGAGGGGAGUGAAAAAGAACCUGAAACCGUGUACG